GUGCCAGCAGCCGCGGUAAGACGGAGGGGGCAAGCGUUGUCCGGAAUUACUGGGCGUAAAGCGCUCGUAGGCGGUCGCAUACGGCGGUGGUGAAAGCUCCCGGCUCAACUGGGAGAGGCCCGCCGCAACGGUGUGACUCGAGGGUGGUAGAGGCAGAUGGAAUUCCUGGUGUAGCGGUGAAAUGCGUAGAGAUCAGGAGGAACACCCGUGGCGAAGGCGGUCUGCUGGGCCACACCUGACGCUGAGGAGCGAAAGCUAGGGGAGCGAACGGGAUUAGAUACCCCGGUAGUCCUAGCUGUAAACGAUGGAGACUAGGUGUCAGCGGUAUCGACCCCGCUGGUGCCGUAGCUAACGCGUGAAGUCUCCCGCCUGGGGAGUACGGCCGCAAGGUUGAA
This 395-nucleotide ribosomal RNA is filed under the name uncultured bacterium. Its description in RNAcentral is "bacterial SSU rRNA". It matches the Rfam family "Bacterial small subunit ribosomal RNA", at positions 505 to 898 of the family's 1533-position model. The record is from RNAcentral.